Molecule: ribosomal RNA, 216 nt
Filed under: uncultured bacterium
Lineage: Bacteria
Description: partial 16S ribosomal RNA
Rfam family: Bacterial small subunit ribosomal RNA
Source: RNAcentral
CAGACGGGUGAGUAACGCGUGAGAACAUGCCCUUAGGUUCGGGACAACAGUUGGAAACGGCUGCUAAUACCGAAUGUGCCGAGAGGUGAAAGAUUAAUUGCCUAGGGAUUGGCUCGCGUCAGAUUAGCUAGUUGGUGAAGUAAUGGUUUACAAGGCGACGAUCUGUAACUGGUCUGAGAGGAUGACCAGUCACACUGGGACUGAGACACGGCCCAG